UAAAGAAUAGUAAAAAAAGUGAACAGCACAUUCCUGGGCCCAGUUUAUGGCGGGGCCCCUCUCUGACCACAACAGUGGACAAAGG
Molecule: long non-coding RNA, 85 nt
Organism: Sinocyclocheilus rhinocerous
Lineage: Eukaryota; Metazoa; Chordata; Actinopteri; Cypriniformes; Cyprinidae
Exons: 3
Source: RefSeq, a predicted model, not a curated record